AGCAGCCGCGGUAAUUCCAGCUCCAAUAGCGUAUAUUAAAGUUGUUGCAGUUAAAAAGCUCGUAGUUGAACCUUGGGCCUGGCUGGCCGGUCCGCCUAACCGCGUGCACUGGUUCGGCCGGGCCUUUCCUUCUGGCUAGCCCUAUGCCCUUCACUGGGUGUACGGGGGAUCCAGGACUUUUACUUUGAAAAAAU
This 194-nucleotide ribosomal RNA is filed under the name uncultured Glomeromycotina. RNAcentral describes it as "partial 18S ribosomal RNA". It matches the Rfam family "Eukaryotic small subunit ribosomal RNA", at positions 569 to 766 of the family's 1831-position model. Lineage: Eukaryota; Fungi; Glomeromycota. The record is from RNAcentral.